UACAGAGGGUGCAAGCGUUAAUCGGAGUUACUGGGCGUAAAGGGCGCGUAGGCGGUUCUGUAAGUGAGAUGUGAAAUCCCCGGGCUUAACCUGGGAACUGCAUCUUAGACUGCGGGACUGGAGUACUGUAGAGGAUAGUGGAAUUUCCGGUGUAGCGGUGAAAUGCGUAGAGAUCGGAAGGAACAUCAGUGGCGAAGGCGACUGUCUGGACAGAUACUGACGCUGAGGCGCGAAAGCGUGGGGAGCAAACAGGAUUAGAUACCCUGGUAGUCCACGCUGUAAACGAUGAGAACUAGAUGUUAGCAGGCUUGGCUUGCUAGUAUCGAAGCUAACGCGAUAAGUUCUCCGCCUGGGGAGUACGGCCGCAAGGUUAAA
This 375-nucleotide ribosomal RNA is filed under the name uncultured bacterium. Its description in RNAcentral is "bacterial SSU rRNA". It matches the Rfam family "Bacterial small subunit ribosomal RNA", at positions 524 to 898 of the family's 1533-position model. The record is from RNAcentral.